This 569-nucleotide unclassified non-coding RNA is filed under the name Hevea brasiliensis (rubber tree). The record is from RNAcentral. Lineage: Eukaryota; Viridiplantae; Streptophyta; Magnoliopsida; Malpighiales; Euphorbiaceae.
UGAGAGUGCAUGCUUUAAAACCUCAUUAUCAAGUUCGCUUUGGCUGACUGAAUGAAUUAGCUUCAGCACAAUGCCAAUUGCCCCAGCAGCCACAAGUUCGUAUACACGAAAAUUGGUGCUGCUUUGGUCAUAAGGGACUCGUGUGGCUUGUUGUUGCAUGCUUGCCAAUAUGUGUUUGGUGGUCCUCCUAUCCAAAGCUGGUUGAGGCACUUUCCUUAACAGAGGCGUUGAGUUGGGUUAAGGCUCUUGGUUUCCAGUAGGGUGUUCAGUUCUGAUUCUGGUACAAUUCUAGCCAAGAAGGGGAUCUAGAACCAAAUAUUCGGUUCUUGAGCUUUAGGAAUCAAAUUUGGAACCAAAUUUCAAUUCUAGUUCCAAUUCAGUUCAAGCAAUUUUGAUAUGGUUUCAAUUCUAGUUUCGGUUUUAUUUUGGUUUCAAAUUUGGUUCUAAUUCCAUUUUAAAUCCUGAUUUUUAAACAUAAAAUUACAAUAUACUUGUGUUCAUUUUUCAACUAAUUUCCAGCAUGUAUUGUUUGAAACGAAUACUCAUUCUUAGUCCAAGCCUUGCGCAGG